GUAUUUGGAAGAACUUGAACAAGGAAUCAGCGAGGAUUACAGAGUCGCAAAAUUUGUAUUUCGUUGUGGUAUUAAUCCUGAAUUAUGUGUUCGUGUAACGUUACAUUAUUCAUGUAAGUUUAACUCUUUAUAAAAAUAUAUAAUUUUCACACGACGUCAACAUGAACAGAAAAACAAGGCAGAUAUGUUGGAACUUUUCCAAUGUCCUGUAAUAAACCUGUAUUGAGGCUACGGCCAGUGUGCGCAUGCGCACGACCCACAAUUCACUUCUUCCUCGUGUCUCUUUUGGAAGAGUUCCUUAACGUGGUCUUUCUCGUCUCUCCGUUGGAAGGGUAAGGUUAGAGGAGUGUCCGACUGAAGCACCUGGUUUGAAAAGAGCACAAAACCCCAGGAGGAGCGGAAAUGGGAAUUCUGAGCUGCAGAAAUGGAGCGCCUCUCAUGUUAAAAGUACUCGGACUGGACUCCCAGCCACCGGAUUGAGAUGUUCUGUGCUGAAACUGUGAAGGUUAGAGGAGUGUCCAACUGAAGCACCUGGUUUGAAAAGAGCACAAGACCUCAGCAGGAGCUGAAAGAACGCACGAGCUGAGAAAAUAAGAUGACGUGCCAUGUCAAGUGCCCGGGUGCUGCGGAUGUGUCCUGAAGUCCAGAUGAGCAGCAUGUGUGCGUUCAACACGGACACGUUUUUAUCUGCCCUUAUGUUUGAACUUUUCUUUGUGCUACUUGGUGUUGACUGUAACGUCGUCUUAGAAAUUUAUAAAGUUGCUUGUCAGAUCUUUUCUGUGAAGUAAAUAAAAAAUAAUAAAGAUGGAGAAAUAGUGUGUUCAAACUUUA
This is a long non-coding RNA of Ictalurus punctatus (channel catfish), 831 nucleotides long. RefSeq lists it as uncharacterized. The transcript is spliced from 7 exons. NCBI's taxonomy places the organism in Eukaryota, Metazoa, Chordata, Actinopteri, Siluriformes, Ictaluridae. The record is from RefSeq and is a predicted model, not a curated record.